RNAcentral lists this long non-coding RNA (2226 nucleotides) under Sus scrofa (pig). Its description in RNAcentral is "lncRNA (ENSSSCG00015066162.1)". Lineage: Eukaryota; Metazoa; Chordata; Mammalia; Artiodactyla; Suidae. The record is from RNAcentral.
CAGGGAUUGAACCCUUGUCCUCAUGGAUACUGGUUGGGUUUGUUACAGUGGAGCCUCGAUUGGAACUCCUCUGAUUUUGAAAUGAGUGGUUCUGAAGAGAGCUUUGCCUAUCCUAAGAUUUGUAACAAUAUCAGUGUUGAAUAGGUAGCUUUAUUAUAAAAACAUAACAGCUUUUACACAGAAACAAUUUGAAACAUUGUAGGGAAAAAGCAAAUAGAAAAAAGCGUCUGCCUGGGAGGUCAAGGUGAGAGAAAGACAACAGUUUGUGUUAGAGAAAAAUGAUGCAUCUCUGGAGAAGAGGAGGGCAACCUGGGAGAGAGAAUUUCAAGAAAGGGGGGAGAUCAGCCUCAAAUCCUGCAGAGAGAGAAGACAGAGAAAAAAACCUUUUAUAUGGUGAAAGGUAAUCCCUGACCUCUAAGAAAGCAGUUUCAGUUGGCAGGAGCAAUCGGAAGGCACACUGCCAUGGGUUUAGGAGGGAUUGGCUAGUGAAGGAAAGGUGAGAAGUUUCACAGGAACAGGAGGAAAAUAUGGAAUGUUAGGAAAGGCAAUAGAGUCUUGUUUAAUAUUAGGAAACUUUGUAUGUUGGAAGCAAGAGAGAAAUGGGUAUGGAGGAAAUAAAGUGCUAAAGAGGGAAGAAUCAAGUAUAGAAUCCCUCUCCACCAGAGGCAGGGUUAGCUUUAGGAUGUUCUGGUAGGCUGAAUGAAUAGAUUUAUAGACAGAGGUCUGUUAGAAUUAGGGAGGAAAUGGAAGAAAGGCAGCUGAAGAGUACCAGCUCUUGCCAGUACCAGACACUUUGCUUGAUCUAUUAAAUAUAUGAUCAUGUAAAUUCAUAACAAUUCUUUGAAGGGUUUGUGAUAAUCUCCCAGUUUUAAAAGUGAGGAUGCUAAGGCUUCAAGGCAUAGUUAUCUUAAAACCAAAGAGCUAGUAAAUGUCCACUUCAGGAUUUGAUCCUCAGUCUUAUAUCAAAGGUUAGUCCCACCCCACUCUAGCAUUCGUUCAUUCAUAUGAGGUAAAGAAUAUGGGGGGCUUGAGAGGAGCUGUGUUACUGAUGACAGUGGCUAUGCCUCAGAAUCACUUUAGGGGCUUUAAAAAAUUCCCCACAGUUGGAGUUCCCAUUGUGGCUAAGUGGGUUAAGAACCCAGCUAGUACCCAUGAGGACGUGGGUUCAAUCUCUGGCCUUGUUCUGUGGGUUAAGGAUCCAGCGUUGCCAAGAGCCAAGUCAUAGGUCAUUGGUGGCUCAGAUCCCGAGUUGCUAUGGCUAUGGCGUAGGCUGGCAGCUGUAGCUCUUAUUCCACCCCUAGCCUGGGAAUGUCCAUACGCUGCAGGUGUGGCCCUAAGAAAGAAAAGAAAAAAAAAUUCUCACACCUUACCCCAUCACUCAUUCCUUCAUCAUCAACACGCUCAUUGAUUACCCACUGUAUUAGUCAAGACUCUCCGGAGAAACAGAACCAAUAGGGUGUAUAUCUCAGUGAGCUGAGAGCAUCUUCAAGUACCAAGAAGUAAGGAAGUACUUAACAGUGGGGGUGGGGGAAGGUGAGGAGCAUGUAAAAAGGAUGCAAGUGUCCAGUGGCCAAAGCUUGAACAACUUGAGUAAAAUAACUAUAGCAUUAGAUUUUGACCCAAAGAAUAAAUAUCCUGGGUCCUUAAUGGUAUAAAUAAGUGAUUGAAUAAGUGGGCAAGAAGAAACAAGUCUCCUACACAGAAGAUUUCUAAAAAAUGGGUAUUUAGAUACUCCCUCCUCCAGGAAAUGGAGAUUAAUUCCCCUCUCCUUGACAUGGGCUAGAUUUAGUGCUUACUUCCAAAGAACAGAGUAUGGAAAGGGGAAAAAAAAUAGUAAUAUAGCCAUAAUUAACUUGAGUAGUGUUAACAGGAAAUUUGAGGACAAUUGGGGAAGAUUACUUCUUUGACAACUUAAAUCCAUCAGAAUGAUUUGAGAAGUUUAGUAUAAGGAUGUUUAAUUUGGGAGUUCCCGUCAUGGCACAGUGGUUAACGAAUCCAACUAGGAAGCAUGAGGUUGCAGGUUUGCUCCCUGCUCUUGUUUAGUGGGUUAACGAUCUGGCGUUGCCAUGAUCUGUGGUGUAGGUUGCAGAUGCGGCUGGGAUCUGGCAUUGCUGUGGCUCUGGCGUAGACCAGGGGCUACAGCUCCGAUUCAGCCACUAGCCUGGGAACCUCCAUAUGCCAUGGAAGCAGCCCAAGAAAUAGCAAAAAGACAAAAAAAAAAAAAAA